RNAcentral lists this long non-coding RNA (1532 nucleotides) under Brassica rapa (field mustard). RNAcentral's name for it is "long non-coding RNA (BRAP_LNC006725)". Lineage: Eukaryota; Viridiplantae; Streptophyta; Magnoliopsida; Brassicales; Brassicaceae. The record is from RNAcentral.
AGGGAUGAAGUUGAGCUCUCAUUGCUGGCUGAGAAGGAUAGAGAUGACAAUCCUACUAGAAUUGGAUGUACGAUCAUAUCAUACUGUUUUAAUUUUUCCUUAAACCAUAAAAUCAUAUAUGGAAAUGGAACAAAAAAUUCCAGAGAUAAAACUGGGUGUGAAAUGUUUCCAAUAGAAAAACAUACUGCUCUCUUCUCUUUCCAAAAAGUUUUUUAUAAACAUAACUCAAAGCUUAACCGUCCAAUUUUUUUUUUUAUAAAAAACAUGAGGGUUAUGUUGAUAAAUUAGACCAAGCUUAUUAGCAGAUUUAGUUUAUCUGGUAACCAACUAAGAUUCAUAUCUAUACAAGUUUAUCAUGAUACACUCACACUCACUCAAUCUGCACAAUUUACAUCAUUUCAACAUAUACCCUACGUUAAAAGCUAAAUUAGACAGAAUUGUGGUUCAAUGAAAAUCUGAAACAAAGUAUAAAUGAGAGGAUAUGUUAAGAGGUCCGACAAUUGGUCCGGUUUGUUUCUGUUGGAAACAAGUUGUGGUUUAUAAUCUAAGCAAAAGCUAAUGUCUUACAAAUCUAUAGUCCAAACAAAAACUAUCCAUUUACAAAUGAUAGUUAGUACCAGUCCCAUAUUACUUCAAUAUAAUGACGCCAUCUAUUGAUUUAUUACAACUGAUGUGUCCAAACGGUAAAAUAAAACACUCACAUAAAGAUAUGAUUAAACUAAAACUAGACGUUACUUCAAUAAAGCUUUCAAUAACGUUACUUCAAUAAAGCUCUCAAUAAUGGUCAUUAUAAGUGAAAUUUACUGAAAUACAUAACGUAAAAAAUACUUAGAGAAACAAAAUAUAUACAUAAAAAUAAGUUAAAAAAUAUAAUAUAAUUAAAUCCAAAAACAUAAUGCUUAUUUUACAUUAAAUUCAACUGAAGAAAACUUACAAAAUAUUAAGGGAAACCACGAAAAAUACAUAAUAAGAAUAUAUAUUUUUUAAAAUAAUCUUAAAAUAACAAAAUAUAACAAAAAUGAAAAAGCCAAAAAAAAAAUAUUUUCAUGAUAAUACAAAGCAUAAGAAGUUUAUAUUUGCUACAAAUACAUAGAAACGUAACACAAAACAAUAUAACAAAUAACUAUAUAAAAACAAAAAUAAACAUAUGCGCUAAAAAAUAAAAGAGAACAAUACCACCAAAAUAAAUAGAACAUGGUUUCAUUAUAACAGUCUCAACAGUUACGUUGAAUUAUGAAAUUUAGUUUAUCAUAACGAGAUUGAAUUCAAUUAUCAUUUUUAAUCGAAAGUAUGGUCAAGAAUACUGAAUCACAUAAAAUAUAAAAUCAAACACUUUCAAAUAAAAUCUGAAGUUCAAUAAAAUACACAAAUUUUAUGCACUUAGCGCAACUAAUAUUGAAACCCUUUAAAUUCUUAAUAUAUAUUAACCCAACACUUCUUCUCCAAUUCAAACUUUUUUCUCAAAUCCAGUUCACCAGUAUUGUAUACUAUAAAUCAUCUUCGGAAGCAUACACAAUUAAAUCAUAUCACAA